This 292-nucleotide ribosomal RNA is filed under the name uncultured bacterium. RNAcentral's name for it is "partial 16S ribosomal RNA". The record is from RNAcentral.
GGACUACUGGGGUAUCUAAUCCUGUUUGAUCCCCUUGCUCUCGCGCCUCAGCGUCAGGUAUAAGCUAGAGAACCGCUUUCGCCACCGGUGUUCUUCCACAUAUCUACGCAUUUCACCGCUACACGUGGAAUUCCGUUCUCUCCGCCAAUCCUCGAGAUUUGUAGUUUCAAAUGCAGCUCCGAAAUUGAGUCCCGGAAUUUCACAUCUGACUUACAUAUCCGCCUACGCGCCCUUUACGCCCAAUAAUUCCGAUUAAUGCUUGCACCCUCCGUAUUACCGCGGCUGCUGGCAC